RNAcentral lists this ribosomal RNA (1429 nucleotides) under uncultured organism. RNAcentral's name for it is "SSU rRNA". It matches the Rfam family "Bacterial small subunit ribosomal RNA". The record is from RNAcentral.
GAACGCUGGCGGCGUGGAUAAGACAUGCAAGUCGAACGGGAGAAUUGCUAGCUUGCUAAUAAUUCUCUAGUGGCGCACGGGUGAGUAACACGUGAGUAACCUGCCUCUUAGUGGGGGAUAGCCCUGGGAAACCGGGAUUAAUACCGCAUACGAUUGAAAGAUCAAAGCAGCAAUGCGCUAGGAGAUGGGCUCGCGGCCUAUUAGUUAGUUGGUGAGGUAACGGCUCACCAAGGCGAUGACGGGUAGCCGGUCUGAGAGGAUGUCCGGCCACACUGGAACUGAGACACGGUCCAGACACCUACGGGUGGCAGCAGUCGAGAAUCAUUCACAAUGGGGGCAACCCUGAUGGUGCGACGCCGCGUGGGGGAAUGAAGGUCUUCGGAUUGUAAACCCCUGUCAUGUGGGAGCAAAUUAAAAAGAUAGUACCACAAGAGGAAGAGACGGCUAACUCUGUGCCAGCAGCCGCGGUAAUACAGAGGUCUCAAGCGUUGUUCGGAAUCACUGGGCGUAAAGCGUGCGUAGGCUGUUUCGUAAGUCGUGUGUGAAAGGCAGGGGCUCAACCCCUGGAUUGCACAUGAUACUGCGAGACUAGAGUAAUGGAGGGGGAACCGGAAUUCUCGGUGUAGCAGUGAAAUGCGUAGAUAUCGAGAGGAACACUCGUGGCGAAGGCGGGUUCCUGGACAUUAACUGACGCUGAGGCACGAAGGCCAGGGGAGCGAAAGGGAUUAGAUACCCCUGUAGUCCUGGCAGUAAACGGUGCACGCUUGGUGUGCGGGGAAUCGACCCCCUGCGUGCCGGAGCUAACGCGUUAAGCGUGCCGCCUGGGGAGUACGGUCGCAAGAUUAAAACUCAAAGAAAUUGACGGGGACCCGCACAAGCGGUGGAGUAUGUGGCUUAAUUCGAUGCAACGCGAAGAACCUUACCUGGGCUUGACAUGUAAUGAACAACAUGUGAAAGCAUGCGACUCUUCGGAGGCGUUACACAGGUGCUGCAUGGCCGUCGUCAGCUCGUGUCGUGAGAUGUUUGGUUAAGUCCAGCAACGAGCGCAACCCCUGUUGCCAGUUACCAGCACGUCAAGGUGGGGACUCUGGCGAGACUGCCCAGAUCAACUGGGAGGAAGGUGGGGACGACGUCAGGUCAGUAUGGCCCUUAUGCCCAGGGCUGCACACGUACUACAAUGCCCAGUACAGAGGGGGCCGAAGCCGCGAGGCGGAGGAAAUCCUGAAAACUGGGCCCAGUUCGGACUGUAGGCUGCAACCCGCCUACACGAAGCCGGAAACGCUAGUAAUGGCGCAUCAGCUACGGCGCCGUGAAUACGUUCCCGGGUCUUGUACACACCGCCCGUCACAUCAUGGAAGCCGGUCGCACCCGAAGUAUCUGAAGCCAACCGCAAGGAGGCAGGGUCCUAAGGUGAGACUGGUAACUGGGA